This 253-nucleotide ribosomal RNA is filed under the name uncultured bacterium. Its description in RNAcentral is "partial 16S ribosomal RNA". It matches the Rfam family "Bacterial small subunit ribosomal RNA", at positions 524 to 776 of the family's 1533-position model. The record is from RNAcentral.
AACGUAGGUGGCGAGCGUUAUCCGGAUUUACUGGGCGUAAAGUGUGUGCAGGCGGGGUGGCAAGGGGUGUAUGAAAUCUCCGGGCUAAACCUGGAGGGGUUAUGCCAGACUGUCAUUCUAGAGUGCGAGAGAGGGGCGUGGAAUUCCGGGUGUAGUGGUGAAAUGCGUAGAGAUCCGGAGGAACCCCAGAGGCGAAGGCGGCGCCCUGGCUCGCAACUGACGCUCAGACACGACAGCAUGGGGAGCAAACAGG